CAAUGCUUCCAUUGUCCUCACAUUGGCAGGAUUGGCCUGGCCCAGGAGCCCAAGCAUGAAGAGUAUGAACUGGGCAGAAGGAAUUGACCUCAUGGAGUCAGAAAGUCCUGAACCUACCUACUCCCGUUUAGACCUGCUACUGAUGCUCCUGAUCUCAUCAAAAGCCCUGUGAGGAGACGAAUCCUCGAGUCCUGAAGAAAACCUGUCUUCUGGCAUAGGAGAAUGCAACUGAUGAAAUAUGACGAGUUAUCCUUUAUCAACUGCCUGUUUGCGGGGGUGGGGGUUAGCAAUUGCCUUAGGAUGCAACUUCCUUGCAUGCGUUCUUUUCCAGCAUUUCAGUAGCGUGCUAGAGAGACGCCAUGGCUUCCUGGGCAUCAUGUGUUUUUGACAGAAUAUACAUAUCUGUCUUUCAAGGGCAGAUUUCUGAGGCCUUUACAACCUCUUUUCCUUCCUUCCUUUCUUUGUUUUGGUUUUGAAAUAGGGUCUCACGCUGUAGCAUGGGGCCUGGAACUCACUGUGUAAUCCAGGGGGGACUCAAAACUUGCCACAGUGCUCCUGCCUCAGCCACCCAGGUAUUGGGAUUGCAGGUGUGAGCCACCACACCUGGAAGACUCAUUUUUUUUCACGUCUUCAUCAGUGGGCUUUUGUUUAACCAUUCUCACUUAGCGCUUUAUGAGUCAAGACUCACUAAUCAUUUUGUCUUGGUUUGUGUCUGCCCAGAACAUUAUUGGCCCUAAACCUCCUAGUAUUUGUUAUGGGCGUCAUAAAUGACUACUCAGAAUAUCAGCCAGACUUUGCAGGCGGUGGCUUCAGAUGUGUCCAGCUCACUCUCAUAAACACAGCGCAAUGCCUUGCCCCUGCCAGACACUGUAGUGACUUGAUUCAGCAUUCGCUGUGAAUUUGGAAUAAAGAUGUCAGCCUUCUCUAUUUGUCACCCAAA
Long non-coding RNA from Mesocricetus auratus (golden hamster), 940 nucleotides. RefSeq lists it as uncharacterized. The record is from RefSeq and is a predicted model, not a curated record. NCBI's taxonomy places the organism in Eukaryota, Metazoa, Chordata, Mammalia, Rodentia, Cricetidae. The transcript is spliced from 2 exons.